UCUGCUUCUUUUCUUCUUUCCUUCGAUAAUUUCACUUCAUUUCUUCACUGUUCCCACUUCCCACUGGCACUAUUUUUUAGAUCUCCACAGCCAUAAGCUUCUUCUCCAAAAACACCGAAACAUCUCUUCAGCACUCUUACUUCGAUCUCCAUAGCCAUAAACAAUUACAAAAAUGCGAAGCAAGCUGCACAUAACGCCAUCGUCAAGAUCCAGAUCCCCAAUUCUCCUCCUCACACUCUCCUUCCUCGCCAUCUCUCUCCUCUUCUUCCUCUUCUCCCUUUCUUCCUCCCAAACCCGGAUCCAGUCCCCCUACUUGAACCCUAGUCUCGCCUUCAAGCCCGAAACCUCCUUUCUCGCUUCUCUCGAGCACUUUCUCGCUGAAAAAGCUCCCAGAUCAUCUUCAACUCGCGAUGAUACGGUUAUCCAAGUCACCGACGAGGAGGUGACUGAAUUGGAUAAGGAAAUGUACAGGAAGGAGAGUGAGAGAGUGUCUGGGAAUCCGUACUACCCUCUUGAGUUUCCGAUUAGGGUUUAUGUGUAUGAGAUGCCGAGGAAAUUCACCUAUGAUUUGCUUUGGCUGUUUAGGAAUACUUAUAGAGAGACUGAUAAUCUCACCUCUAAUGGCAGCCCCGUGCAUCGAUUAAUUGAACAGCAUUCCAUUGAUUAUUGGCUUUGGGCAGAUUUGAUAGCUCCAGAAUCAGAGAGGCUUUUGAAAAGUGUCGUGAGAGUUCAUAGGCAGGAGGAAGCCGACUUGUUCUACAUCCCUUUCUUCACUACAAUCAGCUUUUUCUUGCUUGAGAAGCAACAAUGCAAGGCUCUUUAUAGGGAAGCAUUGAAGUGGGUGACAGAUCAGCCUGCAUGGAAACGAUCUGGAGGGAGGGAUCACAUUCUUCCCGUUCAUCAUCCCUGGUCUUUCAAGUCUGUUCGUAGAUAUAUGAAAAAUGCAAUUUGGUUGCUACCUGAUAUGGACUCCACAGGGAACUGGUACAAACCAGGGCAAGUGUUUCUGGAGAAAGAUCUAAUUCUUCCAUAUGUCCCCAAUGUUGAUUUGUGUGAUGCCAGGUGUUUAUCAAAAAGUGAAUCAAAGAGAACCACCCUACUUUUUUUCCGUGGGCGGCUUAAAAGAAAUGCAGGUGGGAAGAUACGUGCUAAACUUGUAUCAGAACUAAGUGGUGCUGACGGAGUCAUUAUAGAGGAGGGGACAGCUGGGGAUGGAGGGAAAUCAGCAGCUCAGAUUGGCAUGCGCAAGUCCAUCUUUUGCUUAAAUCCAGCUGGUGACACUCCAUCAUCCGCCAGAUUAUUUGAUGCUAUUGUCAGUGGGUGCAUCCCUGUAAUAAUUAGUGAUGAAUUGGAGCUCCCUUUUGAAGGGAUACUUGAUUAUAGAAAGGUGCACAUGCAUUUUGUAGCUUGUAUUGUUGUUUCCUUUUUAUCAAAUUCAAUGUAUCUUGGACGCUUUCCUUUUUUGGUCUAAUAGAUGUUGGCAUAGACUGAUAGUAGUGGGAUGGCCUAUCUGAGGUUGGAAUUAAGUCUGCAUUUUACUGAGCCAUAGAAUCAACAUAUAGCUUUAUUUGUUUCAUCUUCUGAUGCCAUGCAACCAGGGUGGUUGUUGAAAUUUUUGAAAGGUAUUGGCGCUGCUCAAGUAAGGGAAAUGCGACAGAAACUUGGUCAGUACUCGAGGCAUUUUCUGUAUUCUAGUCCAGCUCAGCCCUUGGGUCCAGAAGACUUAGUCUGGAGAAUGAUGGCUGGUAAAUUGGUGAACAUCAAACUUCACACUCGAAGAUCACAGCGUGUGGUGAAAGAGUCUAGGAGCAUAUGUACUUGUGACUGUAA
Manihot esculenta (cassava) is the source of this 1830-nucleotide RNA transcript. It is a transcript of the gene named probable arabinosyltransferase ARAD1, with no coding region annotated. The record is from RefSeq and is a predicted model, not a curated record. The transcript has 9 exons. Lineage: Eukaryota; Viridiplantae; Streptophyta; Magnoliopsida; Malpighiales; Euphorbiaceae.